RNAcentral lists this ribosomal RNA (758 nucleotides) under uncultured bacterium. Its description in RNAcentral is "bacterial SSU rRNA". It matches the Rfam family "Bacterial small subunit ribosomal RNA", at positions 28 to 776 of the family's 1533-position model. The record is from RNAcentral.
AUUGAACGCUAGCGGAAUGCUUUACACAUGCAAGUCGAACGGCAGCAACAGAAAGCUUGCUUUCGGGUGGCGAGUGGCGAACGGGUGAGUAAUGUAUCGGAACGUAUCCAAUAGUGGUGGAUAAAUACGCGAAAGCGUGGCUAAUACCGCAUACGUCCUACGGGAGAAAGCAGGGGACCUUCGGGCCUUGUGCUAAUGGAGUGGCCGAUAACGGAUUAGCUAGUUGGUGGGGUAAAGGCCUACCAAGGCGACGAUCCGUAGCUGGCUUGAGAGGACGACCAGCCACACUGGGAUUGAGACACGGCCCAGACUCUUACGGGAGGCAGCAGUGGGGAAUUUUGGACAAUGGGGGCAACCCUGAUCCAGCCAUUUCGCGUGUGUGAAGAAGGCCUUCGGGUUGUAAAGCACUUUUGCCAGGGGAGAAAAGGGGCUAACUAAUAAUUAGUUCUGCUGACGGUACCUGGAGAAUAAGCACCGGCAAACUACGUGCCAGCAGCCGCGGUAAUACGUAGGGUGCGAGCGUUAAUCGGAAUUACUGGGCGUAAAGGGUACGCAGGCGGCAUGGCAAGAAGGAUGUGAAAUCCCAGGGCUCAACCUUGGAACUGCAUUCUUAACUGCCAAGCUAGAGUAGGUCAGAGGGGGGUAGAAUUCCACGUGUAGCAGUGAAAUGCGUAGAGAUGUGGAGGAAUACCGAUGGCGAAGGCAGCCCCCUGGGAUCAUACUGACGCUCAUGUACGAAAGCGUGGGGAGCAAACAGG